GUUUCAAAUGCAUAUGACCUGCGCUGAGAGGACAACAGGGGGUCAGGAACCUGGGGUUCUCUGGGGGGCAGACUAAGACGACUCCGGGAUCCAGACCCUUCUGCACCUUCAGAUGGGAGCUCCAGGCAGCUAAGGGGCCGAGGAGAAUGGGCAGAGAUCAUGCUACAAGGGGAGGUUCUGGGGAUGAGGCAGUAAUCCCCACCCUCAGUACAGGUCUGGGUUCGCCGAACUCCUUGAGCCUCAGUCCUUUGGCGGUCCCGGGCUAGGGCCACAGCAGCAUCAAAGGAAAGACUACCCCCAUUCCUCCAAGAGGAUCGAGAAGCUCGGGACCCCCAAGCCCUUUCUCCAGGAGUCCCAUCAAGCCGGCCAGGCCUCGGGCAUGGAUUUGCAGGUGCCACAUGAAUCUUGCUACACAUUGCACUGGGCAUCUUGGCAAACUGUGGCUUGGGGGGCACCACAGGCACAGAGCGGACCUGUUGGACCUGAACCAGAGUGGAAGCUAGACGCAUGCCCACGCCACCCAGGCCAAGAGAACAGGGGCAUAGACAGCCGUCUGGACUGGGCUGCCCCUCAGGCUCCAUCUCCUCUGGCUGAGGUGGCUGUGGGGCUACCUCUUCCAUCUCAGAAGAGAUCGCUAGGACUCUGGCUAGUAUG
This 654-nucleotide long non-coding RNA is filed under the name Homo sapiens (human). RNAcentral describes it as "HSALNT0016414". The record is from RNAcentral. Lineage: Eukaryota; Metazoa; Chordata; Mammalia; Primates; Hominidae.